GGGGAGAAAGAGACUGUGCAGGAGGUAAAGAGUGGAAAAGGGAGAGAGAUUAAGAACAAGAUAGAGACAGACAGACUAAUGAAGCAGCUGUUCAUAUCUAUACGGGAAAAUAAAGAACAAACUUCCCAGAAAAUUUUGCUUUACAUCAGUUUGAGAUCCGUUUAUCCAUGUAUCCUUUGGGUCAAUCUACUGUAUAUCAAAUCAGCUCAGUAUUUUCUUUUCACACAAAGUGUUUCGUAAGAAACAAAGCAACUCAGUUAUAACCCCAGGGGAGAUAGGAGAAAGAAAAAAAAGAAAGAAAAUUGAAAUCCUUGGCUUUCUUUGGUGUCCUGAAGUGUUAACACCAAGCCCUGGGUCAUAGGGCACCUCUUUUUUAAAAAUUUCAUUGGGCUAGAGUUGAUUUAUAGUGUUGUAUUAGCUUUAGGUUUACAGUAAAGGGAAUCAAUUAUACGUCUACAUAUAUCUAUUAUUUUUUCCCGUAGAGGGUAUUAGAGAACAUUGAAUAGGCUUCCAUGUGCUUUUCAGCAGGUCCUUGUUAAUUAUCUGUCCUCUAUACGGUAGUGUGCACGUGCCAACUCCAUCCUCCCAAUUUAUCCCUCACCCCUCGUUUUUCCCUUUUGUAGCCCUAAGUUUCACCUCAAAAUCUUUGAGUCUGUUUCUGUCCAACGAAAAAGUACCAUAUGAACCUGCAAUCCCACUCCUGGACACAUAUCCAGUGAAAAGCAUAGUUUGAAAAGAUAUAUGCACUCCAGUUUUCAUAGCAGCAUUGUUUACAAUAACCAAGACAUGGAAGCCAACCUCAGUGUCCAUAGACAGAGGAAUGGAUAAAGAAAAUGUGGUACAUAUAGGCAACGGAAUAUUACUCAGCCACCAAAAAGAACAAAAUAAUGUCAUUUGCAGCAGCAUGGAUGGACAUAAGGUUAUCUUACUAAGUGAAUUCCCAGGCUAGGGGUCGAAUUGGAGCUCAACUGCUGGCCUACACCACAGCCAUGGCAACGCCAGAUCCAAACCACAUCUGCAACCUACACCGCAGCUCAUGGCAGUGCUGGAUCCUUGACCCACUGAACGAGGUUAGGGGUCAAACCACGUCCUCAUGGAUACUAGUCGGGUUCAUUGCCACUGAGCCAUAAUGGGAACUCCUGGACUUGAGUAUUUAUUAUGUUGGAAUGUGUAUCAUUGACCAUUUUUGAGGUUGAGUGUGACAUGAUCCACGCUGGCUGGAAGGGCGCUGGCAUUAUGUGAAGGGGGUGUUGAUAAAGACAUAGGCUCUCCUGUAAAGUUAGGCCUGGAGUUGGAGGACUUCUCCCUUCUCUUUGAUACCAGUCAGCCAACUAGUCUGUAGACACUGCCCCACAAAGGAAGUUGGGCUAUUUUUACCAUUAACUUGAUUCAUUUCUUUAGCAUUAUAUAUACCUGUCAGGGUUAAACAUUUUUUUGUUGUAUGGUUGUGUCCUUGGCCUUAGCCAAUGGAGAGUGCUACUAAGUUUGGAAACUGAUUGCAAAGGGCGGAGAUUCUAAUGGGUUUAGAUAUUCAAGGCUAAAGGCAUUUCUAGAAAAUCCCAUUUUAGAAAAUAUAUGGAAUGGGUGGGUAGUGCCUAAGUGCAUCCCAUCUCCUAGGGCCUAAAAUUGCAAGUAGGGCCACUGUUAGAAGGACUUAACUGUGUUUCCAUAAAGUGGAAGAAAUAAAUGUUGAUCUAGAAAAAACUCUGGUUGGAGUGUAGAAGACAUGGGUGAAUAAGUCCCGACUUUGGAGCUCAACUUCCAGACCUUGGAUUCAGUUCUCAGCCAUUUAGGACCUCAAUUUCUUUGUUCUUUUCUUUUCUUCUUUCUUUUUUUUUCUUCCCCCCUCCCCCCACUUUUUAGGGCCACACCCAUGCCAUAUGAAAGUUUCCAGGCUUGAGGUUGAAUCCGAGCUAUACCUUCACCAUAGCUCACAGCAAUGCUGGAUCUUUAACUCACUGAGCAAGGUCAGAGAUCGAACCCACAUCCUCGUGGAUCCUAGUCGGGUUCAUUAACCACUGAGCCACAAAGGGAACUCCCCUAGGGCCUCAAUUUCUAAAUUGGAAAAAAAAAGGUAGAUCAUUCCACAAAAUUUUUUUCAGCAAUUCUAUGAUUUUUUUUUUCAAAAAUCCCACAAACCUUAAAUUCAUUGUAAUUACAAUAUAGAAGUGCCCACUUUUGUUCAAUUUUGAUGGAUAUUAAAUAAGGUACCAAAGAAAUACUUUCUUGACUUCCAGGAGUUUACAAUCUCAUUGGAGAAAUAAACCACAGGAUAUGUUAAGUUGCCAAAAUAUGUGUAAUAAGCAAUAAAAAUGCUUAGGAGGUAAAUGAGCUAUUUUCACAAUCCUUUCAGAACUCUCUGAUCUUGUGUGUCUUUAAUUGCUGAACUGUGUAUCAUAGUUUCUUCUCCAAGGAAUUUCUUCUACAGUGUCCAGCUUACCAUUGCUUUCCUCAUUAUCUUGAUUAGCUAAUACUGCCGCUUUAUUAACAUUCUUAUAAGAGAGUGCCAAGAAGCCAGCUUAUAUCUGUAGUAUCUAGGAAGAAGCCAGCAUUUACCAACAAGCUCUCUAAGGCUAGUGACUAAUGAAUUUCAAAGGUGAAGGACUCAGACUAAACAAUAUUUAAAAGGAACGUUGCUUAAAUCUCAAGUAGGCCAAGUAUAAAGCACCCUUUCGAGACACUUUUUUUUCCUCUUUGCUUUGAACCUUUAUUGAUUUGUCUGGUAAACGUCUCAGCCACAAUAUGUUCUUCUGGCUCUUGUUUGCUUCUCUUUCUUACUGACCAUUCUGCAGUCUACUUGUCAAGGUUUUGGGUGAGCCAUGUAGGGAUUCUUAAUGCUUCUUUGUUAUGUAAAUUUAAAAGUCAUUGUGGCCCAAUGUUUUACCCUCUGUAAAUGCCAGUUUCCUAAUAUUUGUUUGUCUUGUUGUUCCUAUAAUAUUCAGGAAAAAAACAAAAGAGCCCUUAGUAAGGGGUUUUAAGAGAUACUUCUGCAAACUGACAGAUAACAGUAGUUCUCUGCUAAACUGCUGUAUUUCAAAACUGAUUUUGAUGCCAAAUCAGAAGAGCAUUAAAUGUAUUUUGUUGGCUUCAGGGGUCAUCCUGACUUAGAGCAGGCAGCUUUGUCAUGAGUGGGCUCUCUGGAAAGUGCAUUUAUUCAUUCUUUACAAAGAAAUUAUCUUUCUAAUUAGGAUAGGUCUUGAACCUUUCUUGCUUAUCCGGCCAGGGAUUCCAAGCAGAGUCUGGAAAAAUAUGAUACAUCACAAUAUUUGAUCAAGUAUGAAAUGCAUUCACUAAAAGCAAAAUACCACAUUGGUGGAGAGAAUUUUACACCUAUUGUAUUGGUCAAGGAAACCACGCAUAUAAACACAUGCACGUUCCCCGCUCCACUUUUCUUUUAAUGUUUAUAGAAAAAUUUCUUGAGUGCACUUUUCAAGACAAGAGAAAACAUCCAUCAGUAUUUUGGGUUUUAGUCUCGACAAAAUACAGUGCUCUCUAAGCACUUCAGUAUUAAGGGGUAUUUCCGUAGAUCUUUUUGACCGUUGUUCUUUUCGUUCUUGGUAAACUCUUCCUCAGUAGAGUCAGUGAGAAAUAGAAAACCUAUAUCAACACCACCAAUCUUUUUCAUCCCCGUUUUGAAAAGCAGGAGGCUAUUUAUUAUGCAUUAUAAGAUGGGUUUGAUUUCUAGGGAAACCGACAAAUAAUAUGCUUAUUUCAUACCAAACCCUGCUAGCUUUAAUUUUGCAUAUAUUGAAAUGUCAUAAAAGUGCACUUUUGAUUAUUGAUAGAAAGGAGAUGGGAACCCAGUAAAUUGUGUAAUUAUCAGACCCAAGGUACAUAUACAUCUGUCUGAACACCAGAUCUUCUCGUUAGCCUCUUUGCAGACGUGGUGUGAUUUCUAGAGGAGGUCUUUGUUUUGAAUCUACCUGGUUGUGAACUGAGUAGCAACUAAAUCUCUUUUAAGGAUGUAAAUGUUAAUUCCCUUAAUCCUUAAGUAAUAUGGUCUUAACAUUAAGAAUUCUUAAAGUAACUAAUAAGUUAACGUUUUCUCCUCAAAAAGACAAAAGGUAAUAAGGUAGCAUUUAUUGCAAUGUGUAUUUGGGUUGGCAACAGGUAGAAAGUGAAAAUCCAACUGCCAAUUAACGAACUCUUUCACAGUUCACUUCAGUUGGAAAAAAUAAAUUUAAAAAAGAGAGUUUUAAAGAAAAUAUUCAUUUGGAAGAAGUUGGUUAUUUGGCCAUCUGCAUUUUUAACUGUGUAUGACUUUCUAUUUGAAAUCUCACUAAAUCUCCUUAGCUCGUGACAGACAUAAUGAAAUGUUCUGCAAAACUGAUGCAUACAUCUUACCUUGUAGAAAGAUGCAAACAAUGUGUGUUACACUCUCAGAGUCUCCACUUAUUUAGAAUGACAAUCUUGAAGGUAUAGUCAGAAAUAUCCAUAAUACUCAUCAAUUCCAAGAAGAAUGGAAUCAGCGUCCCAGGGCUCUUGAAGAGGUUACUGGUUUUUUCUCAGGACAUGAUCCAGGAAAACUGGGAGGGCUCAAUAUUGCAGUAGUUCGUAUAAGCUAUAUUGAAGGACUCCAGACCACCUGCUGAUGGGGAAGACACUGAACGCUUACCUGAAGCAGUUGACCUUUCUUAAUAUUUGAAGAACGCGGGCCUUUUGAUUUUUGUUUUCAUAUAUUUUUCCCAAAUAAUCAGUCUCAAAGCUAGGUUUAAAAGCAGAUUGUUCCCGCUAUGGCCAAAUCUGAAAUGAAGCAAGAAGGCAUCCUUUUGAUCUCUUAGGAGCAAACACUGUUUGCAGAUAAUACACAACAAGAGCAUUCCUCUUUGUGGGCCAUGCAGUUUGAUUACGGACCAGGGGAAUUUGGGUUUGGCAAAAGAGAUAAAUAAAUAAAUAAAUAAAUGUGAGUCUCCUAUACGCUUUGGAACACAUACCUUUAAAUACGGCAAGAUAACGAUUUGUAUAGCGUUGUUAUAUAAGGCAUUUCUUGUCUUCUGUUGGUUUCAUGUGACGAAUUCCAGUUGAUAAGCCCCAGACUCUGGAGUCACUUGUCUGGCGAGUUAUUAAGAUUAAGAUAAGUGCUAAGAACGAAAGAUACAGUGCUUUGUACUAGCUUUAUGCGAUUGGGCCACCUAGGAUUCUGAGUGUAAACAAUGAGUUACUUCACCCUCUUUCAAACCCAAGGUGAACACUGGAAGUAUCUAUUGGGGAGAUGUGAUGGAAGCAGAGUAUGAAGAUUAUUUUUAAUAAAAAAAUAGUUUUCAAAUUACCCCAAACCUGAAAAUGUGUAUAAAGGUAGCAAUAUGUUUAUAGAAAAGAGAUUUACUGCCUAAUUUGCCUUGUUACACUGGUAUUCAGAAAGAAAGAGAUAAUUAAUGGGUUCUAGUUAGUCGUAUCAGAAAGGCAUUUAUUUCAUCCUUAUAAAAAUAUGCCUAGAGGAUAAAAAAAAAUAUAAGACGGUGAAGUGCAUUUAGGGGAAUUUAAGAUGAAAGAUAUAUUUGUCAAAAAUAUAUUCCUAAUGCAUGGUCAAAGCUAAUAUUGCCUAUUAAAUGCUUCUCACUAGUUUCUCAGAGUGAAAAAAAGUGUAUGCACUGUUCCUUAAGGCUGAUGGAAGGUUCCAGAGGCACACCAAACAGAGACCAGUAUUUUCUGAAGUUCAGUCAAUGACUCACACUAAAUAUAGUAAAUAUGAGCUGUGCUGUAAAUUGGUGAGCAGCAUUUCCAGCACAGCCAAGUUUAAGUGUCGCUGAGAUCGCUGGAGGAGUGAUAGAAAGGGGUAAUUUAGCAGGCACACCAUAGCAACCUGCUGCGCGGCGGAGAGCGCUGGGUAGCUAUUAAUUUUUGUUAAUGAAUUUAAAACUAGAUGUAUGGAAAUGGUUCUAUGAAAUGUAUACACUGCUAAACAGUUAACUAGUCCUUAGGGCUUAAGUUUAAUUAUCUGUGUGUAAAUCACUUUGAGCAGGGCAAUCUAAUGAGUCAAAGAAAAAAAAAAAAGGCGAGAAACUCCUAUCUGGUUCUGUAAUGACUACUGAGCACAACAAGUCAGCUCCUCCAACCCACAGGUAGAGAAGCAGUUCACGUAGGGGUGGAAGGCAGGGUCCUUGGUCGCCCUUUCCAGGGCUGCGAGGUUCCCUGCCUUGGCUGUUCCAGAACCGUGUCUAGCAGAGGGGAUGGCCAGGUGGACGCUAGGUCCGUCUCAUCUGGGGGUUCUCAACCGGGGUGAUUUUGCCCCCCUGGGGAUAUUUGGCAAUGUCUGGGGCCAUUUUUUUUUUUGUCACAACUGGGCAGCCGCCACUGGUUUCUUCGGGGUAGCGGUCAGGGACACUGCCAAGCAUCCUGCAAUGCACAGGGCAGCCCCUACAACACAAAAGUAUCCAGCCCCAAAUCUCAGUGGUGCUGAGGUUGAGAAAUGCUGUCCUACUUCAGCUUCUGAACAGCAUUUAUAUAUGAGAUAUAGAUAUAUGUAUUUUUUUUUUUUUAAUGUAAGAGUUCCCACUGUGGGGCAGUGGAUUAAUGAUCCAUCUUGGCUCUAUGGUGUUGCCGGUUCAAUCCCUGGCCUAGAGCAUUGGGUUAAGGAUCCAGCAUUACUGCUGCUGUGGUGUAGGUCACGUAUGUGGCUCAGAUUUAAUCCCUGGCCCAAGAACUUCCAUGGGGCACAGGUGCAACUGAGAAAGAAAAAA
This 6680-nucleotide long non-coding RNA is filed under the name Sus scrofa (pig). RNAcentral's name for it is "lncRNA (ENSSSCG00030042975.1)". The record is from RNAcentral. Lineage: Eukaryota; Metazoa; Chordata; Mammalia; Artiodactyla; Suidae.